UAUGUAAUUCUUGGGUGUAAGAAGUGAUUUUCUAUAUAAUUUCUUAUUGGCUUUCUUGAUCAUCAUUUGACCUGAUACUAUUUUUAGUUUAAUAUGCUAAGAUAGGUGUAAGGACAGCUAGGUGGCAUAGUGGAUAGAAUGCUAGGCCUAGAACCAGUUCAAAUAUGGUCUCAGUCUUUUUUACUAGCUGUGUGAUUGUGAGCAAGUCAUUUGACUUAGUUUACUUCAGUUUCCUCAUCUGUACAAUGAUCUGGAGAAGGAUAUGGCAAAAACAAUCGAAUAUCUUUUUACUAAGUAAACCCCAAAUGGGAUCACAAAGAAUUGGUCAUAAUUGAAAAUGACUGAACAAUAGUAAUAGGUGUGGUAAAGCUGAACUGCCUUCCUCCAUUCAAGCCAACGUUUUGCCCAGAAGACUUAGUUUUAGUUUCAAAUAAAACCUUUUGUCUUCCUCAAGAACUAUAUCAAAUCAUAACAAAAGACUACAUAGUUUUGCUAAAGCAAAAAUGAAAGAAGGAACCAAGUUGUGAUCUCAUUCCUGAAAUCAUGCCCAUGGAUGAAAAUCUAUUUGGAAGAGAAUGGGAAACUAAGGAGGAGAAUGGUUGAACAAGUUAUGGAAAAAAUGUCCUAGAUCUUAGAUCCUGCAAAACUGUCAUACUGAAGACCCGAGUUUUCAUGUAUCCUAAUGCUACAAAGAUCAAUGAAAUAUGAGGCAUACCCAGAUUAAACAGCAACAACUAGCAGGGGGUUCAGUUUCAGGAUAAUGACAUACAAGUUGUACUGCUGGCCUAAAAGUCUUCCACUCAGUUGCAAAGGUAAUUUUCCUAAAGCAUAAGUUCAAUUUGUGACAUCUUUUAUUCAACAGGCACUUUUGAGUCAUUAUAAUUUGGCUUCCUACUUUCUAGUCUUAA
Molecule: long non-coding RNA, 908 nt
Organism: Antechinus flavipes (yellow-footed antechinus)
Lineage: Eukaryota; Metazoa; Chordata; Mammalia; Dasyuromorphia; Dasyuridae
Exons: 4
Source: RefSeq, a predicted model, not a curated record